UACAGAGGAGCCAAGCGUUGUCCGGAUUGACUGGGCGUAAAGCGCACGCGGGUGGUCGUGCAAGUGUCGUGUGAAAGCAGUUCGCUCAACGAGCUGAGGCAUGGCAGACCGCACAACUCGAGCCCGUGAGAGGUCGGUGGAAUUGCCGGUGUAGUGGUGAAAUGCGUAGAGAUCGGCAGGAACACCCAAGGGGAAGCCAGCCGACUGGCACGGUGCUGACACUGAGGUGCGACAGCGUGGGGAGCAAACGGG
This 252-nucleotide ribosomal RNA is filed under the name uncultured bacterium. RNAcentral describes it as "partial 16S ribosomal RNA". It matches the Rfam family "Bacterial small subunit ribosomal RNA", at positions 524 to 776 of the family's 1533-position model. The record is from RNAcentral.